This 216-nucleotide ribosomal RNA is filed under the name Campeiostachys nutans. RNAcentral's name for it is "Elymus nutans partial small subunit ribosomal RNA". The stretch from base 47 to 216 matches the Rfam family "Eukaryotic small subunit ribosomal RNA", at positions 693 to 864 of the family's 1831-position model. The record is from RNAcentral. Lineage: Eukaryota; Viridiplantae; Streptophyta; Magnoliopsida; Poales; Poaceae.
GGAUCAACAUGCUGGUCCUGCUUUUGGUACGUACUGGUAUUAUUGGUUUCUCCUUUCUGAUGAAUCACGAUGUCAUUAAUUUGGUGUCAUGGGGAAUCAGGACUGUUACUUUGAAAAAAUUAGAGUGUUUAAAGCAGGCUUACGCUUGAAUACAUUAGCAUGGAAUAAUGAAAUAGGACGUUCGAUCCUAUUUUGUUGGUUUCUAGGAUUGACGUA